This 547-nucleotide ribosomal RNA is filed under the name uncultured bacterium. RNAcentral's name for it is "bacterial SSU rRNA". It matches the Rfam family "Bacterial small subunit ribosomal RNA", at positions 355 to 896 of the family's 1533-position model. The record is from RNAcentral.
UGGGGAAUAUUGCGCAAUGGGGGGAACCCUGACGCAGCCAUGCCGCGUGAAUGAAGAAGGCCUUCGGGUUGUAAAGUUCUUUCGGUAAUGAGGAAGGGAUGUUAUUAAAUAGAUAGCAUCAUUGACGUUAAUUACAGGAGAAGCACCGGCUAACUCCGUGCCAGCAGCCGCGGUAAUACGGAGGGUGCGAGCGUUAAUCGGAAUAACUGGGCGUAAAGGGCACGCAGGCGGACUUUUAAGUGAGAUGUGAAAUCCCCGAGCUUAACUUGGGAACUGCAUUUCAGACUGGGAGUCUAGAGUACUUUAGGGAGGGGUAGAAUUCCACGUGUAGCGGUGAAAUGCGUAGAGAUGUGGAGGAAUACCGAAGGCGAAGGCAGCCCCUUGGGAAUGUACUGACGCUCAUGUGCGAAAGCGUGGGGAGCAAACAGGAUUAGAUACCCUGGUAGUCCACGCUGUAAACGCUGUCGAUUUGGGGAUUGGGCUAUAUGCUUGGUGCCCGAAGCUAACGUGAUAAAUCGACCGCCUGGGGAGUACGGCCGCAAGGUUA